RNAcentral lists this ribosomal RNA (353 nucleotides) under uncultured Streptococcus sp. Its description in RNAcentral is "bacterial SSU rRNA". It matches the Rfam family "Bacterial small subunit ribosomal RNA", at positions 1027 to 1382 of the family's 1533-position model. The record is from RNAcentral. Lineage: Bacteria; Bacillati; Bacillota; Bacilli; Lactobacillales; Streptococcaceae.
AUCGGUGACAGGUGGUGCAUGGUUGUCGUCAGCUCGUGUCGUGAGAUGUUGGUUAAGUCCGCAACGAGCGCAACCCCUAUUGUUAGUUGCCAUCAUUCAGUUGGGCACUCUAGCGAGACUGCCGGUAAUAAACCGGAGGAAGUGGGGAUGACGUCAAAUCAUCAUGCCCCUUAUGACCUGGGCUACACACGUGCUACAAUGGUUGGUACAACGAGUUGCGAGUCGGUGACGGCGAGCUAAUCUCUUAAAGCCAAUCUCAGUUCGGAUUGUAGGCUGCAACUCGCCUACAUGAAGUCGGAAUCGCUAGUAAUCGCGGAUCAGCACGCCCGCGGUCGAAUACGUUCCCGGGCCUU